UUCGGUGCCCGAGUUGUAAUUUGUAGAAGGUAACUUUGGGGCUGGUCCUUGUCUAUGUUCCUUGGAACAGGACGUCAUAGAGGGUGAGAAUCCCGUGUGGCGAGGAUCCCAGUUCUUUGUAAAGUGCUUUCGAAGAGUCGAGUUGUUUGGGAAUGCAGCUCUAAGUGGGUGGUAAAUUCCAUCUAAAGCUAAAUAUUGGCGAGAGACCGAUAGCGAACAAGUACAGUGAUGGAAAGAUGAAAAGAACUUUGAAAAGAGAGUGAAAAAGUACGUGAAAUUGUUGAAAGGGAAGGGCAUUUGAUCAGACAUGGUGUUUUGCGCCCUCUGCUCCUUGUGGGUGGGGGAAUCUCGCAGCUCACUGGGCCAGCAUCAGUUUUGGCGGCAGGAUAAAUCUGCAGGAAUGUAGCUUGCCUCGGUAAGUGUUAUAUCCUGUAGAAAUACUGCCAGCUGGGACUGAGGACUGCGACUUUACGUCAAGGAUGCUGGCAUAAUGGUUAUAUGCCGCCCGUCU
This 511-nucleotide ribosomal RNA is filed under the name Torulaspora delbrueckii. RNAcentral describes it as "eukaryotic LSU rRNA". It matches the Rfam family "Eukaryotic large subunit ribosomal RNA", at positions 130 to 654 of the family's 3401-position model. The record is from RNAcentral. Lineage: Eukaryota; Fungi; Ascomycota; Saccharomycetes; Saccharomycetales; Saccharomycetaceae.